UACAGGGGGGGCAAGCGUUGUUCGGAAUUACUGGGCGUAAAGGGUCUGUAGGUGGCCAACUAAGUCAGACGUGAAAUCCCUCAGCUUAACUGGGGAACUGCGUCUGAUACUGAAGAUCUUGAGUUCGGGAGAGGUGAGUGGAACUGCGAGUGUAGAGGUGAAAUUCGUAGAUAUUCGCAAGAACACCAGUGGCGAAGGCGGCUCACUGGCCCGAUACUGACGCUGAGGCACGAAAGCGUGGGGAGCAAACAGG
RNAcentral lists this ribosomal RNA (253 nucleotides) under uncultured bacterium. RNAcentral's name for it is "partial 16S ribosomal RNA". It matches the Rfam family "Bacterial small subunit ribosomal RNA", at positions 524 to 776 of the family's 1533-position model. The record is from RNAcentral.